AACCAAAGAAGAUUUCCACGUCAGUCAACAGUACUUUCGAACUUUAACAACCAAAUUCUAAAAGACACCAAGAUUGCCACAUUCUAACAAAAUCAAAUUUACAAUUCACAAAUAAAAUAGAAAAGUUUCAAAACCCACACCUGCUUCACGACCAACGAUGUCCAGUCACCGAUUCGACGAUAAGAAAGCGAUGCUCUCCAAAAU
Molecule: long non-coding RNA, 204 nt
Filed under: Gossypium barbadense (sea-island cotton)
Lineage: Eukaryota; Viridiplantae; Streptophyta; Magnoliopsida; Malvales; Malvaceae
Description: long non-coding RNA (GBAR_LNC007012)
Source: RNAcentral